RNAcentral lists this ribosomal RNA (1406 nucleotides) under uncultured bacterium. RNAcentral's name for it is "bacterial SSU rRNA". It matches the Rfam family "Bacterial small subunit ribosomal RNA". The record is from RNAcentral.
GGUGAACGCUAGCUACAGGCUUAACACAUGCAAGCCCUGGGGCAGCAUGGUCUUAGCUUGCUAAGGCCGAUGGCGACCGGCGCACGGGUGAGUAACACGUAUCCAACCUGCCGUCUACUCUUGGACAGCCUUCUGAAAGGAAGAUUAAUACAAGAUGGCAUCAUGAGUCCACAUGUUCACAUGAUUAAAGGUAUUCCGGUAGACGAUGGGGAUGCGUUCCAUUAGAUAGUAGGCGGGGUAACGGCCCACCUAGUCUUCGAUGGAUAGGGGUUCUGAGAGGAAGGUCCCCCACAUUGGAACUGAGACACGGUCCAAACUCCUACGGGAGGCAGCAGUGAGGAAUAUUGGUCAAUGGGCGAGAGCCUGAACCAGCCAAGUAGCGUGAAGGAUGACUGCCCUAUGGGUUGUAAACUUCUUUUAUAAAGGAAUAAAGUCGGGUAUGGAUACCCGUUUGCAUGUACUUUAUGAAUAAGGAUCGGCUAACUCCGUGCCAGCAGCCGCGGUAAUACGGAGGAUCCGAGCGUUAUCCGGAUUUAUUGGGUUUAAAGGGAGCGUAGAUGGAUGUUUAAGUCAGUUGUGAAAGUUUGCGGCUCAACCGUAAAAUUGCAGUUGAUACUGGAUAUCUUGAGUGCAGUUGAGGCAGGCGGAAUUCGUGGUGUAGCGGUGAAAUGCUUAGAUAUCACGAAGAACUCCGAUUGCGAAGGCAGCCUGCUAAGCUGCAACUGACAUUGAGGCUCGAAAGUGUGGGUAUCAAACAGGAUUAGAUACCCUGGUAGUCCACACGGUAAACGAUGAAUACUCGCUGUUUGCGAUAUACUGCAAGCGGCCAAGCGAAAGCGUUAAGUAUUCCACCUGGGGAGUACGCCGGCAACGGUGAAACUCAAAGGAAUUGACGGGGGCCCGCACAAGCGGAGGAACAUGUGGUUUAAUUCGAUGAUACGCGAGGGACCUUACCCGGGCUUAAAUUGCAGAUGAAUUACGGUGAAAGCCGUAAGCCGCAAGGCAUCUGUGAAGGUGCUGCAUGGUUGUCGUCAGCUCGUGCCGUGAGGUGUCGGCUUAAGUGCCAUAACGAGCGCAACCCUUGUUGUCAGUUACUAACAGGUUCCGCUGAGGACUCUGACAAGACUGCCAUCGUAAGAUGUGAGGAAGGUGGGGAUGACGUCAAAUCAGCACGGCCCUUACGUCCGGGGCUACGCACGUGUUACAAUGGGGGGUACAGAGGGCCGCUACCACGCGAGUGGAUGCCAAUCCCCAAAACCUCUCUCAGUUCGGACUGGAGUCUGCAACCCGACUCCACGAAGCUGGAUUCGCUAGUAAUCGCGCAUCAGCCACGGCGCGGUGAAUACGUUCCCGGGCCUUGUACACACCGCCCGUCAAGCCAUGGGAGCCGGGAGUACAAGAAGUGC